GUUUCACUUUACAGUGCAGGAAGGAAUUGAUGCCUUAGAGGAAGUCAUAUAUCAUGUUGAAACAUAUGAUGUGACCACUAUCAGAGCCAGUACACCAAUGUUUCUCAUGUCUCGGAAGAUAAAGUCAUUGGGUGUGAAAAUGGUUUUAUCAGGUGAAGGUUCUGAUGAAAUUUUUGGUGGUUAUUUAUAUUUCCACAAGGCACCCAACAAAGAGGAGUUUCACCAAGAAACUUGUAGAAAGAUUAAAGCACUUCAUCUUUAUGAUUG
This 267-nucleotide unclassified non-coding RNA is filed under the name Hevea brasiliensis (rubber tree). The record is from RNAcentral. Lineage: Eukaryota; Viridiplantae; Streptophyta; Magnoliopsida; Malpighiales; Euphorbiaceae.